Molecule: ribosomal RNA, 301 nt
Filed under: uncultured bacterium
Lineage: Bacteria
Description: partial 16S ribosomal RNA
Rfam family: Bacterial small subunit ribosomal RNA
Source: RNAcentral
CAGUCCCCACGGUAAUACGUAGGUGGCAAGCGUUGUCCGGAUCUAUUGGGCGUAAAGCGAGCGCAGGCGGUUCCUUAAGUCUGAUGUGAAAGCCCCCGGCUCAACCGGGGAGGGUCAUUGGAAACUGGGGAACUUGAGUGCAGAAGAGGAGGGUGGAAUUCCAUGUGUAGCGGUGAAAUGCGUAGAUAUAUGGAGGAACACCAGUGGCGAAGGCGACUCUCUGGUCUGUAACUGACGCUGAGGCCCGAAAGCGUGGGUAGCAAACAGGAUUAGAUACCCGGGUAGUCCCUGUCUCUUAUAC